UUUUUUUUUCAUUUCUGAUGUUUCUCAAUUGCUCUCCGAUGCAGAGAAAUGGGUAAACUUCAUUCCAAACAUGCUGCUAUUUGUAAAGCGAGGGAGAGUCCUGAAGGCGAUAGUUUUGUAGUUAACGCGUGUUUGGCGAGGAAAGGACCGGACGACUGGAUGGUUAAGCAGAAGUAUUACUGCGCGAGCUCUCGUGUAGAUCAGCGGGACUGCCAGCAGAAAAAUACCUGCAGACUGUCUC
Long non-coding RNA from Sinocyclocheilus grahami, 241 nucleotides. RefSeq lists it as uncharacterized. The transcript is spliced from 3 exons. Lineage: Eukaryota; Metazoa; Chordata; Actinopteri; Cypriniformes; Cyprinidae. The record is from RefSeq and is a predicted model, not a curated record.